GUCCGAUAGGUAAGGCUACCACAGGGAUACGGAUUGCUGCCGCGAAAUGGUGGAGACACCAUGAGAGGGUCAACAGAAAAGGUCGAAUCCAAGGCUUUUUUUAAUGCAAUUUCACUGCCCUGCGAAGCUAAAGCUCAAGCGGUAA
This 145-nucleotide small RNA is filed under the name bovine gut metagenome. Its description in RNAcentral is "M-box riboswitch (ykoK leader)". It matches the Rfam family "M-box riboswitch aptamer (ykoK leader)", at positions 11 to 156 of the family's 169-position model. Rfam says of the family: M-box riboswitch, also know as ykoK leader is described as a metaloregulatory RNA that sense divalent metals and function as a genetic control element of genes related to divalent metal transport in bacteria. It was first reported upstream of the B.subtilis ykoK gene and genes with related functions in other bacteria. Phylogenetic analysis of the distribution of M-box RNAs across bacterial genomes revealed that M-box riboswitches are most often employed for the regulation of Mg2+ transporter genes The record is from RNAcentral.